UUCCAAGGAGCAACAAUGGAAAAGCCUGCAGGCAGGAAAAAGAAGACACAGGCCCCAAAGGAGGAAGCAGGUGUGCAAAAGGCUACUGUCAAAGGAGAGAAAGCAGCAAGGGUGAAAAAGCCGACCAAGAGAGGAAGAAACCCUAUGAGUGUAGUGAAUGUGGACGAAUCUUUAAACACAAAACAGAUCACAUUCGCCACCAGAGAGUUCAUACUGGAGAGAAGCCUUUUAAGUGUGACCAGUGUGGGAAGACCUUCAGGCACAGUUCAGAUGUCACCAAACAUCUGAGAAUUCAUACCGGACAGGGACCAGACACAGCAUGCCAUGUAGAAUGCCAAAUACUCAGCUCAGGUUGGCCCUGGAAGACACCUGCCGCAGUGCCUGGGUGGCAGAGUCCAGUCUUUCCUCCAGCAGACAGGCUGCCAGUACAGAUCUCCCCAGCAAGACGCUCAGAGAAGUCAAGAUAGUCAGGUCUACUUCCACCACAGAGCCCUGCAGAUGCCCACUGGGGCCAUACACUAGGGAGGCUGUCAUCACAGAAUCUAUUGGCAACAGGAAAGCCGUAGGUGGUUAAACUCAGGGAGGCCUUUAGGACACCAUGUGGUGACUACAGGGCACUUUCACUUGUGCCUACCCUGCAGUUAAGGUGGCCACAUACAUUCAUGAGUGACCAUUAAUUCUGGCUCACUGUCAGCCUACUGGAGAAUCCCCAGCACCAGCUCUUUACUUCAGUGAGAUACUGUGAACAGCCAUUUGGAUCAGACUAAAUGUUCAGAACCUUCUAGAUGUCUUGAGACUUGUCCUGGGUCAGUGAAGAGUACUUCAUUGAUGCAUUGGGAUUCCAAUUACAAAAGCUUACUCAACUUCAGUCAGAAGUUUCCGAGAAGUCCAAAGCAGCUCCACUUGUCAGCCCCUCAGCUGCCAUGUAAGGUGAGCUUUGUCCUGUCUGCAGGAAGGGCUCUGACCUUCACAGCUGGUGCUCAGCCUCAAUUAGCGCAGACAGCCCUGCCUGGGCCUGACAACAAGCAAAUGAACAUGAAUGAGCUCUGAGCUGCACUAGCAUCCAUCUUCAGUCCCCUCCCAGCCAAGUGAGAAGUCAAGAGCCACCUCUAGGGAGAGUCAGAAGUAGCCCUGGGCCCAGUAGUCCUUUGUCUUCUCUUGAGGAGAUGUGACAUCUAGCUGGCAUCUUCCAGCUUCAGGGCACACCUGGGUUCCACUCCUCCUUGACCUUGGAUCCAUCCCAGUUUGGCAUCAAGACACUGUGCCAGUGAGUUGGGAUACCAAGAUGUCCUGAAGAAGAAGGCAGGCCCUAGAAGAAAGGCUAUUUACCCUGACUCAAGGGACAGAUGCUCUAUGGCUUCUAGGGAAGAUUUGGGGAAACAGGGUCACCUCUAGUGUGGACACCAGGUACAGUACAGACAAGGAGACUAACCUAUGCACCACAUGGACCCUUAGGUCAAGAGGCAACUCUCAUUGUCAUCCUACCCCUUCCAGAACUUUGUGUCUGUGGAGUUGGGUGUUGGCUUUCUCCUGGUUCCCUUUAAAGGAAGGCAAGUAGAUUGCCCUCUCCAAACUCAAAUCUCCUGGGACUGAUGCUUUUACGUGACAGCUCCUAACCAACACCUGGGUGAGGCAUUGCCCUGUAGCUGGGCCUGCAGGCUUUGGCUCUGAACCUUCAAGGAGUUCUUGGCACCUGUGAACUGGUAGCCUGUCCACAUCUCACCUCAGCCACAUCAGCGAUCUGCUGGAACCUCAUCUUUUUUUGUAUCUGGCUGGUGCCUUAUACAUUCCCUGCAGGGUGUAUCCUACCCUCCUGUGUUAAAUUGCAGUGAGUGAAUUCCUCUUUAAGGGCUGCAGCUAUAGCUUGUUGUGUUGUAGCAGAUGCUGUCCCUAGUUUGGUGUUUUUGUGUCGUAGUUGUCAACUUACCUUCAUGUAAAAUAUUCUUGGGGCUGUGUCAGUGUUGUGCACAUUGCACUAGACUUUCUAUUUUGCUGUGCACUUGGUGGCUUCCUUCAUAUGUGACCCAUCUGCUCCAUGGACACCUGCACUGAUCUCCACAUUGCCUUCCAGUUGCUGCCAUGGCUUUGUGAGCAGAUGCUGCUGCUACUGGAUGUCUAUUUUCUCAUAAAAGUAAAUGUGUUUCCAACCUGCUUACUGUGCUCUGUCAGGUUCCCUAAUAGUGUGGAGGGAUGCCCUCAAAGAAGCCACCAGCUUUCUCCACUGAGGAUAGUGAGCUGCAAGAUCAGGGUCCCAGCUGGUCACUGCUCAGGAGUGUCUAGGAAGCUCCAGUGACCAAGCUCAUGAGAGUAUAAUAUGUAAUUCAGAAAAGUUAUCACUACUGUACAAUGGGGUGAAGGUGGAGACAGCAGCAAGACAUCAUCCUGCCUUUUGACCCCAGAUACUAAGAUGCCAAGUUAGGGUUUGGUUGUUCAGUGCCUGUAGUAGGGACCCUGAGGAAAACUUGGGAAUUGGCCAUUCAUUCUCCACUUAAGGCAGCUGUUCUCAACAAGGGGUGAUCCUGCAAGAGACACUUAAAUUUGGUGGGGUUUUGUUGUUUUGUUUUGUAUUUCACAUGCAUUGGUGUUUUGCUAGCAUGUAUGCCUGUGUGAAGAUGUCAGACCUAGAACUGUAGUUACAGAUGGUUGUGAGCUGCCAUGUUGGUGCUGGGAAUUGAUCCCAGGUCCUCUGAAGAGCAGCCAGUGCUAUUAACCACUGAGCUAUCUCUCCAGCCCUGCAAGAGACAACUAAUGGUUCCAGGGGACAGUUUUGUUUGGAGGAUCUGAUGGGUAGAGAGAGGCAAACCUCAUAGUAUACAGGUCAACCCCACAACAGCAACAGGGAGUGCUGGAACCAUUUUGUUACUCAGGAAGCUAGGGAUAAAGCAGGGCUUACAAUCAACAGAAACACAAGAGGAACCUUUUUCUUUUCUGAUCCAUUCUCCUGCAGCCCCCAAACCAAUCUUAAAAUGAAGUAAAAGGGUCAUUUGAGCUUUCAAGAUCUAGAGUAGCUGAGAUACAAUAGUGACCUCCAUCUCAAAAACAGGGUGGGGGUGAAGCUGGAGGUUUAGCCUGGUGAUGAAAUACAAACAACCUACUUGAGACCCUGGUUUCAGGUCCCAUCCCUAGAAUUUGCAAACAGGAAGGGAGGCUGGAGAGAUGGCUCAGUGAUUUAAGAGCACCAGUUGCUCUUUGAGAGGACCCAUGUUUGAUUCUCAGUACCUCUAUGGCAGCUUGCAAACAUCUGUAACUACAGUUCCAGGAGAUCCUUUUCCUGCUCUCCGUAGGCCCACGCAAGUGGUUCACAGACAUACAAACAAGCAAAACAGCUAUAUACAUACAACAAAAAUUGAAAAAUAGAUCCCUCCCCUUCAAGACUUUCAGUGCCUCCCAGUACACUUAGAAUGAGAUCUUAGUUCUGGAAUGGCUUUAGAACUGUUAUUUGAUCUGAUCCUUGCCCAUCUUGUCCCAUUCUCCCCUUGUUUACCAGGUCCAAAUGACCUUUGCACACACUACUUCUUUUGAAUGUUUUUAACUCUUCCUUUCAUCUUUCCCUUUUGUUAUCUUGGUCAUCAGACUCUUCAGUCUACCACUUGUGGGGUAUCCAGCAGAGAAGGCUGAGACAUGGGUUUAAGCCAAUAAAGUCUUUAUUAGCUGGCCAGCACCUACCCUGUGUGUUUGGGAUCCCAGUUCAGCACUGAGCCUUUCCAAGGUGAGCUUUUCAGCACAAAAACCAUGUCAUGAGUCGACAUACUCAGUAAACAAGAACAGUUUUAGCCAGAAGCAGAAUUACAGAAGCCAAAAAGCAAAGUUAGUAUGUUUCCCAGACUUUGAUGGAUUAGUCUUUGGUUUUGUGUUGUCAAGUGGUGCUGUCUACAUGAUGAAUUUAUGACCUGAAUGGUGCUUCCAUUAUGGAAUCAGUUAUGCUAAGGUUUGGAGGCCUACUAGGAUCUAGGUACCUGUUACAUUCUCCACUGGUCUUAGUGAAUGAGUCAAAUUGUGGACUCAUCCCACUCUAAAGAGGUAUAGUUGGUCCUAAAGACCAUUAAUUUUACCAAAUUGUUAGCUGGGCAUUUGGUGGCACAAGCCUUUAAUCCCAGCACUCGGGAGGCAGAGGCAGGCGGAUCUCUGAGUUCUAGACCAGCUUGGUCUACAAGAGCUAGUUCCAGGACAGCCUCCAAAGCCACAGCGAAACCCUGUCUCCAAAAAAAAAAAUUUACCAAAUUGUUACAUAAUUGGCCAAAUUAGGUGCAGGGGCCCACCUUUAAAAUCCAAUCAGAAUGAAUUAAAGGCCCAGGCAGUGCUGAUAGUGUGAAGGCUAAAGAAACACCAUUUUGUGCUAAUAUCCAUCUUGGUACCCACUACCUGUUAGUCUCUGACUCCAGUCCCUGGAGGAUAAGUUCCCUAUAACUCAUAACGCCCACCCGGAAAUGCACAGCUGUGACCAUCUCCUUUAUGCUAUGACUGUUAGUUACUGUGGCCUGUUUAUGCAGACAUUCAAGGACUAUUUUGAGUUCUCCCUGGCUACCUUGGAAGAUACUCAAGAUCUUAUGGGUUUUGCCUUUAAAAAUCCUUCCCUUGGCCCCUUCACACAGCAGUCUCUAGUUUGGCUCAGAGGUUGCUGUCCUGCUAGCAGGUUCAAUAAAUGGAACUAAUUAUA
Molecule: RNA transcript, 4657 nt
Organism: Phodopus roborovskii (desert hamster)
Lineage: Eukaryota; Metazoa; Chordata; Mammalia; Rodentia; Cricetidae
Gene: Zfp41
Gene name: ZFP41 zinc finger protein
Exons: 4
Source: RefSeq, a predicted model, not a curated record